This 274-nucleotide ribosomal RNA is filed under the name uncultured bacterium. RNAcentral's name for it is "partial 16S ribosomal RNA". It matches the Rfam family "Bacterial small subunit ribosomal RNA", at positions 523 to 796 of the family's 1533-position model. The record is from RNAcentral.
AUACGGAGGGUGCAAACGUUGUUCGGAAUCACUGGGCGUAAAGGGCGCGCAGGCGGUUUGAUUAGUCAGAUGUGAAAGCCCACGGCUUAACCGUGGAAGUGCAUUUGAAACUGUCAGACUUGAGUACCAGAGGGGGUAGUGGAAUUCCCGGUGUAGAGGUGAAAUUCGUAGAUAUCGGGAGGAAUACCGGUGGCGAAGGCGACUACCUGGCUGGAUACUGACGCUGAGGCGCGAAAGCGUGGGGAGCAAACAGGAUUAGAAACCCCAGUAGUCC